UCUAAGUGGAGUAUUAUAUAGCGAAACUGCGAACGGCUCAUUACAACAGAUAUAAUUUACUAGUUCUUGUUUCUAUAUGGAUAACUGCGGUAAUUCUGGAGCCAAUACAUGCAUCAAGCCCUGGCCGUCCGGUUAGGGUGCAAUUAUUGGAGCAAAACCAGUCUCGUACUGUUUGCUAACUCAGGAUAAUUCUGCAUAUCGCAUGGUCUUGUACCGGCGAAGUUUCUUUCAAGUAUCUGCUUUAUCAACUAUCGUUGGUAGUUUAUUGGUCUACCAUGGUGUUGACGGGUAACGGAGAAUCAGGGUUUGACUCCGGAGAGGGAGCCUUAGAAACGGCUACCAUGUCUAAGGAUAGCAGCAGGCGCGAAAAUUACCCAAUAUCAAAACGAUGAGGUAGUGACGAGAAAUAACAAGAUCGUUCUCUUUGAGAUCGAUUAUUGGAAUGAGUACAAUCCAGAAAUUUUAACGAGUACCUACGAGAGGGCAAGUCUGGUGCCAGCAGCCGCGGUAAUUCCAGCUCUCGUAAUGUAUAGAAUUAUUGUUGCGAUUAAAAAGUUCGUAGUUGGAUUGCAACGCAGGUAUGGGUCCACCCUCUGGGUGCGUACUCAAUGCUUGCAUUUUGCAUGUUUUUGUGGCGUCGCUUCGGUGGCGUUCAUGAUGCAUGCAGGAUUACUUUGAACGGCUCAAGUGCUUAAAGCAAGUCUUAUGACUGAAUACCGGUGCAUGGAAUAAUGGAACAAGGUUGUGGCUGAGUUUUAUUGGUUUUGUCGGCUAAAACAAUGGUUAACAGGAACAGCCGGGGGCAUUCGUAUCGCUGCGCGAGAGGUGAAAUUCGUGGACCGUAGCGAGACGUCCUACAGCGAAGGCAUUUGCCAAGAGUGUUUUCAUUAAUCAAGAACGAAAGUCAGAGGUUCGAAGGCGAUUAGAUACCGCUCUAGUUCUGACCGUAAACGAUGCCAACUGUCGAUCCGCUUGUGGAUUUUAUUCAUGAGCGGGGAGAUUUCCGGAAACGAAAGUUUUUCGGUUUCGGGGGAAGUAUGGUUGCAAAGCUGAAACUUAAAGGAAUUGACGGAAGGGCACCACCAGGAGUGGAGCUUGCGGCUUAAUUUGACUCAACACGGGAAAUCUCACCCGGCCAGUACAUCGUAAGGAUUGACAGACUGACAGCUCUUUCAUGAUUCGGUGAAUGGUGGUGCAUGGCCGUUCUUAGUUCGUGGAUUGAUUUGUCUGGUUUAUUCCGAUAACGAACGAGACUUUAACUAUUAAAUAGUGCGCAUGUUGCUUCGGCUGCGUGUGAUCACUUCUUAAAGGAAUUUGUGGUUUUCAACCUCAAGAAAUUGAGCAAUAACAGGUCUGUGAUGCCCUUAGAUGUUCGGGGCCGCACGCGUGCUACAAUGGUGGUAACAGCGUGAUUGUCCUUUUCCGACAGGAAUUGGCAAACAGUUGAGAUAUUAUUAUGGCUGGAAUUGAGUGUUGAAAUUUUCUCUCAUGAACGAGGAAUUCCAAGUAAAUGUGAGUCAUUAACUUGCAUUGAUUACGUCCCUGCCCUUUGUACACACCGCCCGUCGCUGCCCGGGACUGAGUUACUUCGAGAAAACUAGGGAUCGCUGGAGUUCGAUGUUUCGGCAUUGUCUUUGGUGAGAACUAGUUUAAUCGCAGUGGCUUGAACCGGGCAAAAGUCGUAACAAGGUAGCCGUAGGUGAACCUUCGGCUGGAUCAUUACCGAUCCUAUGACACAUUCAUUCGUGCUCGUCACGAAGACGUGGAGCAACUUCGGUUGCGCCGCAUGAUGUGGGUUCGAUUCGUCGUCCCCGCUACUGAUUGUUCGCACGGAAGCCGAGAGGUGACCGUGCAACGGUAAAGUCUGGGUUUCUAUGCGCUGCGUUGAGUCGACGUUUUACCGUGCCGACAGAUGAGACCAGCCAGCUGCUUGCCGAUUCGUUCUGGCGAGCGUAGGAUUGAAAAGCCCGAGCGGCUGCCCUGACAAAACAUUCAUUUUACAUUUAUUUUGUUGGAAAAGAAUAUUAAGUUACUCCGGUGGAUCACUUGGCUCGCGGGUCGAUGAAGAACGCAGUGAAUUGCGAUAAUAAGUACGAAUUACAGAUAUUAUGAGUACCAUGUUUUUGAAUGCAUAUUGCGCUCUUGGGCUUUGCUCUUGAGCAUAUUCGAUUCAGGGUGUGUUGUUAAACUGAAGCAGAAACGCCGACUUGUUUUCUCAAGUUUCUGCAUUCGUGAACAGUUGUCUCGCAUCGUCGUUCGGGGCGAUGUUAGGCACCAUCUGUUUGAGGAGUGCGUGCACUCCGGCCAUAUCUCUACGACUACACUGUUUGUUGCGGCGAGUACGAAAGGGCUUCGGCUCGAUUGUGCCACCGCGGCUAAACCGUUCGGUGAUGUUGUUCAGCGGCGCGGCCGUCAAGGAUGUUCGGAUGCGAAUGUUUGAAGUCCUGGUUGCGUUUGUUGAGCGUCGUCGUGAAGCCUUGCGGGCAGUUGGUUCGGAAUUGGUUGAAACCACCUGAGUUGGGUAUGACUACCUGCUGAACUUAAGCAUAUCAGUAAGC
This 2558-nucleotide ribosomal RNA is filed under the name Bursaphelenchus mucronatus kolymensis. RNAcentral describes it as "SSU rRNA". The stretch from base 1 to 1722 matches the Rfam family "Eukaryotic small subunit ribosomal RNA". Lineage: Eukaryota; Metazoa; Nematoda; Chromadorea; Rhabditida; Aphelenchoididae. The record is from RNAcentral.